AUUGCUUUUCAGCCUUUUGGCUAAGAUCAAGAGUAGUAUCUGUUCUUACCAGCUUAAUAUCUCACUACCUGAGACAGUAUCACUUUGCCACUGUAAAAUCAGAGGGUUUUCACUAUGUUCUUUAAUGAUUCUAGCUAGUCUCAUAACCAGUGGUAGUGACAUCAUCUGUGAACUUGCUAGAAAUGCAAAUUUUACACUGCAGCUUAGAAAUACAGAAGAAACUAC
Molecule: small nuclear RNA, 225 nt
Filed under: Erinaceus europaeus (western European hedgehog)
Lineage: Eukaryota; Metazoa; Chordata; Mammalia; Eulipotyphla; Erinaceidae
Description: U2 spliceosomal RNA
Rfam family: U2 spliceosomal RNA
About the family: U2 is a small nuclear RNA (snRNA) component of the spliceosome (involved in pre-mRNA splicing).
Source: Rfam by way of RNAcentral